UCUUUGGUACCGGGAUUGAACUCAGGUCCUUGGGCGGCGUAAUCCACUGAGCUAAAUCCCUGGCCCUGGCCUUGAACUCGUGAUCCUCCUGCCUCGGCCUCCUGAGUGCUGGGAUUACAGAUCAUACAUGCUGAAGGCCCACUUGAGCUUCUGCUCCAGCUUCCCCGAGAAGUCACGCUCAGCGCGAUGAUGAACUCCCGGAAGUCGAUGGUGCCAUCACCGUUGGUGUCAAAGGUGCACGGAAGACAUGCUCAGGCGAACUUGGAGGCGUCGCCGUAGGGG
RNAcentral lists this long non-coding RNA (282 nucleotides) under Heterocephalus glaber (naked mole-rat). RNAcentral's name for it is "lncRNA (ENSHGLG00100047946.1)". The record is from RNAcentral. Lineage: Eukaryota; Metazoa; Chordata; Mammalia; Rodentia; Bathyergidae.